RNAcentral lists this ribosomal RNA (473 nucleotides) under uncultured bacterium. Its description in RNAcentral is "partial 16S ribosomal RNA". It matches the Rfam family "Bacterial small subunit ribosomal RNA", at positions 28 to 507 of the family's 1533-position model. The record is from RNAcentral.
GAUGAACGCUCGCGGCAGGCCUAAUACAUGCAAGUCGAACGGGUGGUCGCAAGACCACUAGUGGCGCACGGGUGCGUAACGCGUAACCAACCUGCCCCGAUCUGGGGGAUAGCCCGCCGAAAGGCGGAUUAAUACCGCAUAUACCCGCAGCCUGGCAUCAGGCAACGGGGAAAGAUUUAUUGGAUCGGGAUGGGGUUGCGUGACAUUAGCUAGUUGGCGGGGUAAGGGCCCACCAAGGCGACGAUGUCUAGGGGACCUGAGAGGGUGAUCCCCCACACUGGCACUGAGAUACGGGCCAGACUCCUACGGGAGGCAGCAGUAGGGAAUAGUGGGCAAUGGGCGAGAGCCUGACCCAGCCAUGCCGCGUGCCGGAUGAAGGCCUUCUGGGUUGUAAACGGCUUUUCUCAGGGAAGAAAAAGACCUUGCGAGGUACACUGACGGUACCUGAGGAAUAAGCACCGGCUAACUCCGUG